GCCUACGGGGCGCAGCAGGGAGGAAUAUUGGUCAAUGGGCGCGAGCCUGAACCAGCCAAGUCGCGUGAGGGAAGACGGUCCUAUGGAUUGUAAACCUCUUUUGUCGGGGAGCAAAAAGGCCUCGUGAGGCCACAAGUGAGAGUACCCGAAGAAAAAGCAUCGGCUAACUCCGUGCCAGCAGCCGCGGUAAUACGGAGGAUGCGAGCGUUAUCCGGAUUUAUUGGGUUUAAAGGGUGCGUAGGCGGGCUGGAAAGUCAGCGGUAAAAUCGAAAGGCUCAACCUCUUUCCGCC
RNAcentral lists this ribosomal RNA (291 nucleotides) under uncultured bacterium. Its description in RNAcentral is "partial 16S ribosomal RNA". It matches the Rfam family "Bacterial small subunit ribosomal RNA", at positions 337 to 625 of the family's 1533-position model. The record is from RNAcentral.